This 547-nucleotide long non-coding RNA is filed under the name Ananas comosus (pineapple). Its description in RNAcentral is "long non-coding RNA (ACOM_LNC012773)". The record is from RNAcentral. Lineage: Eukaryota; Viridiplantae; Streptophyta; Magnoliopsida; Poales; Bromeliaceae.
AAAUAUGUAACAUUUAAUCAAAUUUCUUCUUUUCACAUAAAAGUGUAAUAAUUUUUUAAAUAAUUAUUAUGUCAACCAUCAGUAAAUCCAAAGGACACAAUCUGAUUGAAUUGAAAUAUAAAUGAUGUGGUGCAAUCAUAUUUCUGCAAAAUAGAAAAAAUAUUUCUUAUAUCCUAGUUUUUCUUAAUAUUAUUGAUGCAUAAGCACACAAUUAAAAUUACAAAAAUAAAUUGACACUCGAGGGAUACAUAUUCUUCUUUUGUACUGAAAGCAUCUAAAGAAGUGGGCCGAUUUUUAUAGAGCUGGAUGAUAUCGGUGUUUGCUAUAUCCUUCAAUUUGACGUUUGUUUCUGUUUGUACUAUACUUUUUUCUUUUUAGUUCUUUUAUUCUUUGAUUUUUCGUAUUUUUGGAGGUCUUAGCUGUUUCACUUUAUAUAGUUAAAUUCAUUUAACUAAUGAAUGAAGAGGGUAGCGUGCUAUUUUUCUCUCUAAAAGAAAAAAAUACCUACAUACAUUCCUUUAUUUUUAUUUGGGCCCACAAAAACUAA